UCGAGAAUCUUCGGCAAUGGGCGCAAGCCUGACCGAGCGACGCCGCGUGCGGGACGAAGGCCGUUGUGUUGUAAACCGCUGUCAGGGGGGAGGAAAUGUCAGCCCUCAGGGUUGGCUUGACCUAUCUCCAGAGGAAGGACGGGCUAAGUCCGUGCCAGCAGCCGCGGUAAGACGGACCGUCCGAACGUUACUCGGAAUUACUGGGCUUAAAGGGUGCGUAGGCGGCCUUGCAAGUCGGGUGUGAAAGCCCUCGGCUUAACCGAGGAAUUGCGCUCGAAACUGUGAGGCUCGAGGAAGAUAGAGGUGAGCGGAACUUGCGGUGGAGCGGUGAAAUGCGUUGAUAUCGCAAGGAACACCGGAGGCGAAAGCGGCUCACUGGGUCUUUCCUGACGCUGAGGCACGAAAGCUAGGGGAGCGAACG
Molecule: ribosomal RNA, 421 nt
Filed under: uncultured bacterium
Lineage: Bacteria
Description: bacterial SSU rRNA
Rfam family: Bacterial small subunit ribosomal RNA
Source: RNAcentral